This is a long non-coding RNA of Phyllostomus hastatus (greater spear-nosed bat), 1555 nucleotides long. RefSeq lists it as uncharacterized. The transcript is spliced from 3 exons. Lineage: Eukaryota; Metazoa; Chordata; Mammalia; Chiroptera; Phyllostomidae. The record is from RefSeq and is a predicted model, not a curated record.
AAGGACUGAGUCUGCUGACAGGUUGGGGCCUCGGCUAGGAGAAGGGGGCAGAGAACCAGGUCACCUUCAAACCUGACCUUUUGGCCCGUGGGAGGUCACAUUGGCCAGAGCUGAGAGGAGAGGAGGGUGUCCAGACAGGCAACAGUGCCGAGGGCCUGGAGAAGAAGCGGCCUGGUCUGGACUGUGGCGCCACGGAGCCACUGAGCCACCCAGCGCGGCCCACAGCAGGGUCGGCGGCCUGCCCCGUCUCACUCCCCCACAGCGGAGCAAUCUACCCUGGUCUGCCGGAAUCGAAAACCCAUUCCCACCCCAGCUUUGGCUUUCUGCUCUCAGAUGGCGGGAAGCCUUAGGCAGGUGGCAGCUGUCAGAGCCCAGCAGACAGGCCUCACCAGCAGGCCCUCAGAAUGGAGCGGAUGAAAGGCCUGGCCAGCUUCAAGGCUUUCCCCGAGGAAACCCAGCCCACAGAUCCGCAGGGAGCCACACUCACAGGAGGACAGCCCGCUAAGCUUGGGAUCAAGUCCAGGUCACCAGUGCUCAGACAACCAAGGCCUCUGCCACUUGGAACAUAGAGUUCUGAGGCUUGGCAGGAGCCUGAGAGGAGCCGCCGGCCCUGAAAUCUGCUGGCUGCCGCCUGGCCCUGCACCUGGACCUGCACCUGGGAGUCCCCAGGCUGGCUGUCUGACCAGAUCCUGCUUGUCCCUGAUCAGAGGAAUGCAGCUGCUUUCCUGAGUCAACUUGUUCUGUGUCAAUCUUUCCUCUCAAAGCUUUUUCUCUUUCUACAUAAAACUUGCAGUGCUGCUGUGUUCCUGGACUAGGCACCUUGCUAUCCUCGAGAAUUUGAAGGGUCAUUUUUGUAAGUUAGUGUUGGCAAGAAAUUAGCUGAUGGGUCACUGCUGGACACCCGGGGUCCCUGUGGUCCAAAUACUACUUCAGAGCUGAUAUCUCAAUUGAAGAGCAUUUAUUGAGCACCUACUGUAUGCCAAGCCCUGUGCCAUGUACUGAGGGAAGUGUGAAUGGAGACUUCGUGCAUCUAGCCAGCACGUAGUGCUGAUGCGGGUGGGCCCUGGAGAAGGCUCAGAUACUUGACCUUGCAGAGCCAACAUCCCACUGCAUGGUGGAUGAGCUUCCUGCAGCCACUGUAACAGAUGAACACAGACUUGGUGUCCCAGAUGAAAGAGCCGAGGGGCGGCAGCAAACGAGAAUUUCCCAGCGUCACACAGACAGAAGCUGAGCUGGGACUUGGCCCAGCUGCCUCUAAGUCUAGAGCCUGGGUCCCUUUCACUUCCCCUGGUGGUGUGUCACAGCGGUCGGGCAGGUGUGGGGUUGAGCAUCAGCUCUGCUACCAGCUGCCUGACCCCAUGCCGGUGUUCCUCUGUCUCCCCACCUGGGAACCGGGCAUCAAAACAGUACUGUCUUGGGGUUGCUGUGAACAGGUGAUGGACUAUGAAGUUUGUGAAAUACUGAUCUCUGUGUAAAACACACACACAUUAACAUUAUAGAACACUGAUGAUAUACGUGAAACACUUCACACACACAGUUUUGUUGAACUCUCCCA